This 171-nucleotide ribosomal RNA is filed under the name Triticum aestivum (bread wheat). Its description in RNAcentral is "partial small subunit ribosomal RNA". Lineage: Eukaryota; Viridiplantae; Streptophyta; Magnoliopsida; Poales; Poaceae. The record is from RNAcentral.
UCUAAAGCCAACUCCCCGGGGCUUGUUUUUCUGUCAGAAACAAGACAGGCCCCUUCAAAGAUGGAGAAACUGAGGUGGAGAUUGCAGAUGAAGGGUUUUGCUGGCGUGUCGAGUGACGGCCUUAGUGGAGGCCUUGCACUCUUUUGGGAUGAGAAGUUGCAAGUGACGGUG